GAGCAGAUCGUUGGAUGUCGUAGCGGCCAUGAAGAGCGAGGCAGAGGAGGCGCUGAUCUAUGUCGAGAGAGAGAGGGCUGCCGGUUAGUGCAGCUGUGGCGCGGCAAGACGCCGGAGAGAGGCUGUGGAUCGAGAAGGUCGGCAGCGGCGGGCUGCCGAUUAGUGCAGCUGCGCCGGCGGCGCGGGUAGGGAAGAAUUAGGGUUUCUUUGGUGAUAAGCCAUUGGCAUAUGAUACCAUGUAGAGAGUUUUGGGAGAAUUAAUUUUCUCGUAUUGCUCACAAAAGU
This 285-nucleotide long non-coding RNA is filed under the name Nicotiana benthamiana. RNAcentral's name for it is "long non-coding RNA (NBEN_LNC035037)". The record is from RNAcentral. Lineage: Eukaryota; Viridiplantae; Streptophyta; Magnoliopsida; Solanales; Solanaceae.